GCCGGUUCACUGAAUUGCCGCCGCUAGCCCGUCACACUAGUUCUUCCAGGCGUAGACGAGGAGGGAGAAGCCGUCGCCGCUCUGCAGCUGGGCCUCCUCGGCGCUGCCCCAGUCCAUGACAGUGGAGCCACUCGCCCAUGACGCGGAGGAGGACGCCACUGACGCCGAAGAGGAGGAACUGGCCUUGGCCAGCCUGCUCGCCUGCCCCCUCUUCCUCCGCUUCUCGCCACCAUUGCUGCUGCUCUCGCUCCAGUCCCCUCUCCCCCACCCACUGACGUAUCCUGGCCAGCCGCCUCCGCCUGUCCCGGCCUUGUCGAGCAGCUCCUCCUCCUUGGCGUCGGCUGGGUCACGCUCCUCGCCGGCGUCGGCGAGCUCGAAGCGGAAGACGAAGAUGGCAUGCGCGGGUGGAACCGGUGCGGCGGCGGCUGCGUCCGGGGGCGACGCGUCGCGCGCGGGGAAGAGCCAGUUGUGAAGGUCCCAGGAGACGAGGACGCGGUCGCCGCCGCCGAGGUCCACCCUCUCGGUGCCGCGGAACUUCCAGCGAAGGCGGCGGACGUGGAGCACGCGAUCGCCGUCGACGGAGACCGACAUGCCGACCUCGGCCCUGUCCCGCUCCCGCCCCUGGCCCUGGGCGCGCGAGACGAGAUCCACCGAGAUCUCCCGCUCCCUGCCGCGCACGACGACGCAGGUGCGGUGGCAGCGGCCGCCACCGCCGGCGCCGUCGCGCAUGGACACGUGCUCGCGGCGCGAGACGAGGACGGGGCCCGGUCCCGCCGGGCGGCGCGCCCUGGUCUUCCUGUAGGCCUCGUCCGCCAUGUCCCCGGCGACGACCGCCAUCUCGCCGUCCACCACGACGGCGACGAAGUACCCCGACGAGGGCUCCGGGGAGCCCGAGGGCGGGAAGCGCGCGCGAGAGAGGUCCCAGGCCAGGUCCACGCGGCGGUCCCGCACGCGGAAGCGCUUGGACCCGCGCCGCCGCCAAAGCAGCCACGGCCGCACGCGCACGGCCACCGUCGCCUCCUCCUCCUCGUCGUCGUACUCCACCUCGCCGUCGCCGUAGUCGGACGCCGACGGGGACGGCGCGGGCGCGGGGCCCGCCGAGACGCGGAGCACGGCGCGGAGGCUGAGCCCGAGCGGGGCGCGCGACCAGGACAGCGUGGCCAGGCCGAGGCGCGUGUCGUAGACGGACGUGGCCAGGCUGGUCCCCGCCCCGGAGCCGGACCCCGACCCCGAUGGCGCGGGCGACGCCCGGCCACUGGGCGCCGCCGCGGCGCGGAAGCAGGCCGGAAUCGCGUCGGGCAUCGCGCGCUCUCCUUCUGCCUGCCCCCCUUUGCACUUGGGGAUGGAGGGGGUGAUGAAUGGCAAUGGAAACUUGAGUUUCCGCUGAAACCGCAGGCGUUUUGGUUUAUUUUCUUUUUUUCCUUUUUGCCGGCACGGUUGGUUCGCCCUCGCGCCGGUUGGAGUUGGACUUGGACCGACCAGGCAGAGGCGGGGGUGUUACAUAUAACUCUGACGAGGUGGAGCGUUGGUGCCGCUGUGGCUCGCGCGUUGGACUGGACCCAGCCAGCUGGGGCCUGGGGUGCGAGCGGCGACACCGACCGCCGCUACUACGGGGUUUCCUCCGACGCUGGUUCUGAUCGAGUUUCCG
RNAcentral lists this unclassified non-coding RNA (1648 nucleotides) under Zea mays. RNAcentral's name for it is "misc RNA Zm00001eb312710". The record is from RNAcentral. Lineage: Eukaryota; Viridiplantae; Streptophyta; Magnoliopsida; Poales; Poaceae.